Molecule: ribosomal RNA, 469 nt
Filed under: uncultured bacterium
Lineage: Bacteria
Description: partial 16S ribosomal RNA
Rfam family: Bacterial small subunit ribosomal RNA
Source: RNAcentral
GACGAACGCUGGCGGCGUGCUUAACACAUGCCAGUCGAACGGUGAAGCGAGUGCUUGCACUCGUGGAUCAGUGGCGAACGGGUGAGUAACACGUGAGUAACCUGCCCAUCACUCUGGGAUAAGCACUGGAAACGGUGUCUAAUACUGGAUACGACCAACCCUUGCAUGGGGUGUUGGUGGAAAGAUUUAUCGGUGAUGGAUGGACUCGCGGCCUAUCAGCUUGUUGGCGGGGUAAUGGCCCACCAAGGCGACGACGGGUAGCCGGCCUGAGAGGGUGACCGGCCACACUGGGACUGAGACACGGCCCAGACUCCUACGGGAGGCAGCAGUGGGGAAUAUUGCACAAUGGGCGAAAGCCUGAUGCAGCGACGCCGCGUGAGGGAUGACGGCCUUCGGGUUGUAAACCUCUUUCAGCAGGGAAGAAGCGAAAGUGACGGUACCUGCAGAAGAAGCACCGGCUAACUACGUG